Molecule: long non-coding RNA, 226 nt
Filed under: Junco hyemalis (dark-eyed junco)
Lineage: Eukaryota; Metazoa; Chordata; Aves; Passeriformes; Passerellidae
Description: lncRNA (ENSJHYG00000017235.1)
Source: RNAcentral
AAGCGUCCUCCAAGGCUGCUAAUAAAGGAUGUCCUCCCCCUCCUUCUCUUUUGCUGGCGCUGUCAAGACCUGUCUGGGCUAUUCAACUGCUCCUCUCUUGGUGAGAUACUCCAGCUUCUUGGUUCAGACUCCUAGCCACCUGGCGAAGCUUUGCUGCCUUCCCCCUUGCCUCUGCAGUCUGGGAGCACGUGUUGGCUGUUUGGGUCUAUCAGCAGCAGGGCGAUGA